CAGUCGCCACGGUAAUACAGAGGGUGCGAGCGUUAAUCGGAUUUACUGGGCGUAAAGCGUGCGUAGGCGGCUUCUUAAGUCGGAUGUGAAAUCCCUGAGCUUAACUUAGGAAUUGCAUUCGAUACUGGGAAGCUAGAGUAUGGGAGAGGAUGGUAGAAUUCCAGGUGUAGCGGUGAAAUGCGUAGAGAUCUGGAGGAAUACCGAUGGCGAAGGCAGCCAUCUGGCCUAAUACUGACGCUGAGGUACGAAAGCAUGGGGAGCAAACAGGAUUAGAUACCCCAGUAGUCCAUGUCUCUUAUAA
This 301-nucleotide ribosomal RNA is filed under the name uncultured bacterium. Its description in RNAcentral is "partial 16S ribosomal RNA". It matches the Rfam family "Bacterial small subunit ribosomal RNA", at positions 509 to 809 of the family's 1533-position model. The record is from RNAcentral.